CAAAUUUCACUUUCCCGCCCAAAACUGCUCAUCCCUUCUACCUUUCACCUUUUUCCACCCCAAACCCAGAAAUCUUCCAAUCCGAAACCACAAUCUCAUCUGUCUCUCUCUAAAACCCUUUCACCUGAUAGCCACACAACAACUCAUACACAAACCCAUACACACACUGGUAAAGAUGGCAGCAUCAUCAAUUCGCCGCGCAAGAGACUACGCCCCCGCCGGCGGCGGCGGAGGUGGAGGGACGGUCACGGCGGCUGUGGCGGCGAAACCCACCAAAACCCUGACCCCAGUCUCGACCCUUGAGGCCCUAAAGAGAUCCACCGGAAAAGAAAACCCUAGACCCACUUCCCGAGGACGUGCGGCGACGGCGCAGAAGCCAGCGAUGAUUCGGCCGAUGCCUCGAAUCGACAAGUCGACUUCGUCGGUACCAAGAGGUAGGUGCUCUAGUCCCUCUGAUUUCAAUAGGGUCCUGUCUGAUUUGCGGAAAGAUGCUAGGGUUUCUAGGGUUUCGGCGUCCGGAGUCGAAGCCGAGCAGCGUUCGGUCUCGAGUGGUCGGAGGAGUGUGAUUCAGCAAAAGAAGGUUUCUUUGAGAGAUUUGGAUGCAAAAUCGAGUGGAGGAAGUGAGAAUCGAGUUCGGCUUCUAACCGAGCGGAGAAAUUCGGUGUUUAGUGAGGUGGGUAGUGAGAGAAGGGCUGAGAUUUCCGAGAGGAUUCAGCAAAAGAAGGGUUCUUUGGGAGAUUUGGAUGCGAAAUCAAGUGGAGGGAGUGAGAACCGUAAUAGGCUUUCUCACGAAUGCAGGAAUUCAGCAGUUGGUGAGGUUGGUAAUGAGAGAAGGGGUGAGAUUUCUGAGCAAUGUGGAUCAAAUUCUAAAGGAAGUGAAGAAGUUAGAGGUAGGGUUCUUGAGAGGAUUCAGCAACAGAUUGGUGGAUUGAGGGAUUUGAAUGCGAAAUCAAGUGAAGGAAGUGAGAAAGUAGUUAAGGAAUGGCAAAAUUCAGUGAAUGCUGAUGUGGCUAUGGAGAAAAAAUGUCAAAGCCAUGAGCAAAGUGAAUUUUAUACUCACAGUGGUGAAGAGGCUAGUGUUAGGGUUCCUUCAAGAAUUCAGCAGCGGAAGGGCGGUUUGAAGGAUUUGGAUGUGAAAUCAAGUGGAGGAAGUGUGAAUGGAGUUGGGGGUUUGAAGGAAUGCGCAAAUUCAGUGAAUGCUGAGGUGGGAAUGGAGAAAAGUGGUCAGAAUCACAAGCAAUGUCAGUUGUCUACAAAAGGAGGUGAAGAAGCUAGGGUUAGGGUUUCAGAUGAAUUGAAAGGAGAUGGAAAUCUAAACACAAUUCCGGCAAAGUCAUGCUUAGGUAGUCACGAUUCUAAGCGAAUCGUAGAUUCGAAUUUGAAAGUUUCAAGUGGUUUAAGAGUUUAUGAGGAAUCAAAGGGUAGAUCUUCGGCUGAUCUGAAAUCUGUGAGUGGAGGUGAAGUAGGUGGGAAAGAAUUGGGCCGGAAAACUCUGAAUGGUUCAAGAGGCUCAGAGAUCUCGAAGGCAAAGUGUGUUGUUGAAGAAGUUAUGGGUGGUGGGAGCAUCAACAAAUAUCCAAGCAGGCUCCAUGAGAAGCUUGCCUUUUUGGAAGGAAAGGUGAAGAGGAUUGCAUCUGACAUAAAGAAGACAAAAGAGAUGUUGGAUAAGAAUAAUCCAGAUGCGUCAAAAGUGAUACUUUCGGAUAUUCAACAGAAAAUCUCAGGAAUUGAGAAGGCGAUGGAGAGUGUUAACGGUGUUGAUGGAAAGAUAGGUGUACCCAAAGUUACUGAAACUGAUGAUGUAUUGAGUAAAAGUUCGGAUAAGAGUCAAAACAAGGAAGUGGAUCCUUUGAAAUGUUCUGUUAAAGGCUUGAAUUCUGAAGAGCUGGAGGCAAGACUUUUUCCUCAUCAAAUGUUAAUUAGAGACAGGACAUCGUCGAAAGUGUCAUCAAAUCAUCAGAGUGAUCCUGUUGAACCUAGCUUUGUAUCGAAGCCUGAGGAGAAGUUGUUGGGCUCCAAUGAUGAAAACUCCAUUGCAUUGGAAUUCUUGGCUUCCCUGAACAAUGAGCAAUCUAAGAUUACAAGGAGGGCUGAAAUUGGUGGUGUGGAAUUCACUGAAGUUCAAGAAACAGAUGGUGUUGUCAAUUCAACAGAACAAGAUUCUUCCAAAACAGGCAGUGGGGAAGGGGGUUUUGAAAUGAUUCUCACUACAGAUGAAAAACUGGAUGAUUUUGAUGAUCAGGAGAAUAGACCGGCAAUGACAGUGGAUGAAGAGAUCGAUGAUAGCUUGAUUUAUCAGUUGAAUGAAAUUGGUCAUAAGACUGCGACAGGAGGAUGGUUUGUAUCUGAGGGAGAAGCUGUACUUCUUGCUCAUGGCGACGGUUCGUGUUCCUUCUAUGAUAUCAUUAACUGUGAGGAUAAAGCUGAAUACAAGCCCCCUGUGGAAGUCUCACAUAAUCUAUGGAGGGAUUGUUGGAUAAUUCGUGCCCCUGGUGCAGACGGUUGUUCCGGAAGGUAUGUUGUGGCUGCUUCUGCUGGCAAUACCUCGGAUUCAGGAUUUUGCUCAUGGGAUUUCUAUAGCAAAGAUGUGAGAGCAUUUCACACUGAGGAUGGCAUUGCUAAUUAUUCACGAACAGCACUUGCUCCCCUACCAAAUAACACAAUAUAUAGAAGAAACACUCUAUCUUCUGUUAUGGCCCCAGAAAACCACCAAUGGUGGUAUAGACCUUGUGGGCCACUUAUCGUGUCAACUGCCAGCUGUCAGAAGGCAGUUAAAGUGUAUGAUAUCCGCGAUGGUGAGCAGAUUAUGAAAUGGGAGGUGCAGAGGCCUGUUUUGGCAAUGAAUUACUCCAGUCCUUUGCAAUGGAGAAGCAGAGGGAAAGUGGUUGUAGCGGAGUCAGAAAGUGUUUCACUUUGGGAUGUGAGCUCUCUGGAUUCUCAGGCAUUACUGUCUAUUUCUUCUUGUGGUCGGAAAGUGUCUGCACUUCAUGUGAAUAACUCUGAUGCAGAACCGGGAGGAGGAGUAAGGCAAAGAGUAAGUUCAUCCGAAGCAGAAGGAAAUGAUGGAGUCUUCUGCACCCCUGAUUCCAUCAAUGUACUAGAUUUCCGCCAUCCAUCUGGCGUAGGUCUCAAGAUACCCAAACUUGGUGUCAAUGCAACGUCAGUUUUCUCUCGCGGAGAUUCCAUUUUUAUUGGCUGCAAUAACGCCAGGUCAUCGGGAAUGAAGCAACCCUGUCCUCAGGUGCAACAGUUUUCAUUGCGCAAACAGAAGCUUUUUGGCACUUACUCUUUGCCAGAAUCCAAUGCUCACUCCCACUACACAGCCUUAACGCAAGUCUGGGGAAAUCCAAACCAUGUCAUGGGAGUUUGUGGAUUGGGACUGUUCGUUUUUGAUGCAUCAAAUGAUGAUGGAUUGCAGCAGUCUCUCUCCACAGAUUGCAGUAACUUACAGAAGGUUAAAGAAGUUAUUGGACCAGAUGACUUGUAUUCCCCUUCUUUUGAUUACUCGGGGUCCCGUGUUCUCCUCAUAUCAAGAGAUCGUCCGGCUUUGUGGAGAGUGAGGAACAUCCCCAAAUGGCUGUUCAAGACAGUCGGAGAAGAGCAUUAAGCCUUGUAUUUUUCGUUGAAUGGGGAGAUUGCUCGAUGCUAGCAACAAUUGGCCUUGGUGCCGCUCAGUCUCCUUGGGGUGUCGCUAGUGGAGCCAUUGUAGGACAUCUUCUAGCAACAUCUAUCGCCAUUCUUGGAGGAGGAUUUCUCGCCAACUAUAUCUCUUAACUGAAUUUCCAAUCAGGUCGGCUAUUUUGGUGGAGCACUCUUUCUGAUUUUGAUGUAGCCACAUUUCUAGGAGUGUUCUGAUACAUUUUUGGGGAGUCAUUGGAAUGAAGUAAAAAGAAGGAAAUCUGUUUUACAAAAAAGAGAGCUGAUGUACCAAAAUACAACUUGGAAUUAGGUAGGUAUUAGAGGCAGGGCAGAGAAAAGAGAGAUCACAAAACUCCUGUUGAAGACGGCACAUCAUGUACUUUUAAGCACAAAAUAAGAUUAGUUACGAAUUGUUGUUGUUGUAGUCGUAUGUCUGUUGAUAGCAACUUAUAGCGAGCUUUACCGUUAGGAUUG
This is an RNA transcript of Rhododendron vialii, 4113 nucleotides long. It is a transcript of the gene named KIN14B-interacting protein At4g14310, with no coding region annotated. The record is from RefSeq and is a predicted model, not a curated record. Lineage: Eukaryota; Viridiplantae; Streptophyta; Magnoliopsida; Ericales; Ericaceae. The transcript has 6 exons.